GUCGAGCGGUAGAGAGAAAGCUUGCUUCUCUUGAGAGCGGCGGACGGGUGAGUAAUGCCUAGGAAUCUGCCUGGUAGUGGGGGAUAACGUUCGGAAACGGACGCUAAUACCGCAUACGUCCUACGGGAGAAAGCAGGGGACCUUCGGGCCUUGCGCUAUCAGAUGAGCCUAGGUCGGAUUAGCUAGUUGGUGGGGUAAUGGCUCACCAAGGCGACGAUCCGUAACUGGUCUGAGAGGAUGAUCAGUCACACUGGAACUGAGACACGGUCCAGACUCCUACGGGAGGCAGCAGUGGGGAAUAUUGGACAAUGGGCGAAAGCCUGAUCCAGCCAUGCCGCGUGUGUGAAGAAGGUCUUCGGAUUGUAAAGCACUUUAAGUUGGGAGGAAGGGCAGUUACCUAAUACGUGAUUGUUUUGACGUUACCGACAGAAUAAGCACCGGCUAACUCUGUGCCAGCAGCCGCGGUAAUACAGAGGGUGCAAGCGUUAAUCGGAAUUACUGGGCGUAAAGCGCGCGUAGGUGGUUUGUUAAGUUGGAUGUGAAAUCCCCGGGCUCAACCUGGAACUGCAUUCAAAACUGACUGACUAGAGUAUGGUAGAGGGUGGGUGGGAAUUUCCUGUGUAGCGGUGAAAUGCGUAGAUAUAGGAAGGGAACAGC
This 657-nucleotide ribosomal RNA is filed under the name Pseudomonas trivialis. Its description in RNAcentral is "bacterial SSU rRNA". It matches the Rfam family "Bacterial small subunit ribosomal RNA", at positions 61 to 710 of the family's 1533-position model. Lineage: Bacteria; Pseudomonadati; Pseudomonadota; Gammaproteobacteria; Pseudomonadales; Pseudomonadaceae. The record is from RNAcentral.